This 76-nucleotide transfer RNA is filed under the name Escherichia coli. RNAcentral describes it as "tRNA-Thr". It matches the Rfam family "tRNA". From Rfam's summary of the family: Transfer RNA (tRNA) molecules are approximately 80 nucleotides in length. Their secondary structure includes four short double-helical elements and three loops (D, anti-codon, and T loops). RNAcentral also lists the same sequence under 7 other names. The record is from RNAcentral. Lineage: Bacteria; Pseudomonadati; Pseudomonadota; Gammaproteobacteria; Enterobacterales; Enterobacteriaceae.
GCCGGUGUAGCUCAAUUGGUAGAGCAACUGACUUGUAAUCAGUAGGUUGGGGGUUCAAGUCCUCUGGCCGGCACCA